UAUACUUUUGAAAACAAACUGUUUGUUGUGAAAGUUAGUGAUAAAAGUAUUAAUUAUAUUGAAACAGUUUGCAUCACGAGAAGAAGUGGGUUAAUAUCAUCGAAACAAUUUGUAUCACGCGAAGAAUUGGUUUUACGAGAAACGAAACAGUUUGUAUCAUGCGAAGAAGUUGACGAAAGAUUUAUUUUAGUUAAAAUAGUCAACACAAACAAAUCGCUAGUUACCUUGGUGUCAUAGGUGGUGCCAACAUUAAAGAUAUGACAAGGAGAGUAUUAACAGCUUUGAUAACUAAUGUUUUAGCUGGUGAAUAAAAUUUCAUGGAGCAUAGGGAAAAACAUGCCUUUUCAGUCCUUAUGAUAAGAAAAAUUGUCAAUGAUGCAGUUUGACUCAUUCCAUUGACAAAAAAAGCUACAGCUGCUGAAGUAGAAGACGUAGUGAAGGAAUGGCUUCAAAAAUCAAAAGAUAAAUCUCCGCGCAAAGCGGAGAAGAUUAGAGUUGAACGACGAACUUGCAAAUAAUGUAGAAGACGAAUACAAAUAAUUUGCCACAAUUCAAUAUUGCAAAAAAAUAUUAUCUUGGCUA
Long non-coding RNA from Hydra vulgaris (swiftwater hydra), 582 nucleotides. RefSeq lists it as uncharacterized. The record is from RefSeq and is a predicted model, not a curated record. Lineage: Eukaryota; Metazoa; Cnidaria; Hydrozoa; Anthoathecata; Hydridae.